GGUGUUGCAUGGCUGUCGUCAGCUCGUGUCGUGAGAUGUUCGGUUAAGUCCGCUAACGAGCGCAACCCUCGCUGUAUGUUACAGUGUGUCAUACAGGACCGCCGGUAUCAAGCCGGAGGAAGGUGGGGAUGACGUCAAGUCCGCAUGGCCUUUAUGUCCGGGGCUACACACACGCUACAAUGGUCGGUACAAUGGGUUGCUAAGCCGCGAGGUGGAGCCAAUCCCCCAAAGCCGGCCUCAGUUCAGAUUGCAGGCUGCAACUCGCCUGCAUGAAGCUGGAGUUGCUAGUAAACGCGCGUCAGCUAUAGUGCGUUGAAUACGUUCUCGGGCCUU
This 333-nucleotide ribosomal RNA is filed under the name uncultured Anaerolineaceae bacterium. RNAcentral's name for it is "bacterial SSU rRNA". It matches the Rfam family "Bacterial small subunit ribosomal RNA", at positions 1037 to 1382 of the family's 1533-position model. The record is from RNAcentral. Lineage: Bacteria; Bacillati; Chloroflexota; Anaerolineae; Anaerolineales; Anaerolineaceae.